CCGGCCCCUCUCACCGACUAGCAAUCGGUCACCGACCUUCGGAUAGGGAACCUGAAUACCGUAAACGCAAGCACAAGACAUGCUUGCAUCGUUGCGGUUCUGUCGGUGGAGCUUCAAUGGUUGCGGUUUAAACGGAACCGCACAAUGAAAAGACACUUUUGUGUUCUGCUCAUUGUUUUUGGUGGGGUCGUUGGUACUGUGAAAGGAGGCUGGUCAGUCACCAGCAACCAGAUCAAUAUCAGCGUGAACAUUCAAAGCAAGUAGCCACAAGCCGCCCUUCGGGGCGGCUUGUUU
RNAcentral lists this small RNA (294 nucleotides) under Gibbsiella quercinecans. RNAcentral describes it as "ryfA RNA". It matches the Rfam family "ryfA RNA". From Rfam's summary of the family: This family consists of a number of bacterial RNA genes of 305 bases in length. The ryfA RNA gene is present in E. coli, Shigella flexneri and Salmonella species where it is found between the ydaN and dbpA genes. The function of this RNA is unknown. Lineage: Bacteria; Pseudomonadati; Pseudomonadota; Gammaproteobacteria; Enterobacterales; Yersiniaceae. The record is from Rfam by way of RNAcentral.